RNAcentral lists this transfer RNA (68 nucleotides) under Zemeros flegyas. RNAcentral describes it as "tRNA-Cys". The record is from RNAcentral. Lineage: Eukaryota; Metazoa; Arthropoda; Insecta; Lepidoptera; Riodinidae.
AGCCUUAUAGUCAAUAAUGAUAUAAAAUUGCAAAUUUUAAGGGGUAAUAUAAAUAUAUGCUAAGGCUU